UGGUUAGUUGGCUUCAGGCUCUUCUGGAUCAAGUAACCAGUAGCCCUCUGAUCCCUGCCAUGGCAUCUUCUUUCUUCUGGAUUUAGCUAACUGGAACUUACAGGAGCUGAUAAAUCUUGGUGUCUGUGAUCACCCCAUGUCCUGUUCUUUCCUUUCUUGUCUG
Molecule: long non-coding RNA, 163 nt
Organism: Gavialis gangeticus (Gharial)
Lineage: Eukaryota; Metazoa; Chordata; Crocodylia; Gavialidae
Exons: 2
Source: RefSeq, a predicted model, not a curated record